This is an RNA transcript of Ornithorhynchus anatinus (platypus), 2981 nucleotides long. It is a transcript of the gene named Dexi homolog, with no coding region annotated. Lineage: Eukaryota; Metazoa; Chordata; Mammalia; Monotremata; Ornithorhynchidae. The transcript is spliced from 3 exons. The record is from RefSeq and is a predicted model, not a curated record.
GGGAGGGGACGGGGUCCCGCCGCUUCCCCGGCGGGCGGCGUGAUGACCGCUCGGGCGCCGCUAUUUAUUGAGCGCCUGCUACGGGCGGAGCGGGGGACCGGUGGAGCGCUCACGCCCAAGGACCAAAGGCCUGGUGUUUAUUGAGCGCUCCCGCCGGCUCGCCAGCGUGCUACUUGCUGAGCGCUCACGCCGGAUCGCCAGCGUGGUAUUUAUUGAGCGCUCACGCCGGAAGGCCCACGAGCGUGGUAUUUAUUGGACGCUCACGCCGGAUCGCGAGCGUGGUAUUUAUUGAGCGCUCCCGCCGGCUCGCCAGCGUGCUACUCGCUGAGCGCUCACGCCGGAUCGCGAGCGUGGUAUUUAUUGAGCGCUCACGCCGGAUCGCCAGCGUGCUACUCGCUGAGCGCUCACGCCGGAUCGCGAGCGUGGUAUUUAUUGAGCGCUCACGCCGGAUCGCCAGCGUGCUACUCGCUGAGUGCUCACGCCGGAUCGCGAGCGUGGUAUUUAUUGAGCGCUCACGCCGGAAGGCCCACGAGCGUGGUAUUUAUUGGACGCUCACGCCGGAUCGCCAGCGUGGUAUUUAUUGAGCGCUCACGCCGGAUCGCCAGCGUGCUACUCGCUGAGCGCUCACGCCGGAUCGCGAGCGUGGUAUUUAUUGAGCGCUCACGCCGGAUCGCCAGCGUGGUACUCGCUGAGCGCUCACGCCGGAUCGCGAGCGUGGUAUUUAUUGAGCGCUCACGCCGGAAGGCCCACGAGCGUGGUAUUUAUUGGACGCUCACGCCGGAUCGCCAGCGUGGUAUUUAUUGAGCGCUCACGCCGGAUCGCCAGCGUGCUACUCGCUGAGCGCUCACGCCGGAUCGCGAGCGUGGUAUUUAUUGAGCGCUCACGCCGGAUCGCGAGCGUGGCACUCGUGGAGCGCUCACGCCGGAUCGCGAGCGUGCUACUCGCUGAGCGCUCACGCCGGAUCGCGAGCGUGGUACUCGCGGAGCGCUCACGCCGGAUCGCGAGCGUGCUACUCGCUGAGCGCUCACGCCGGAUCGCGAGCGUGGUAUUUAUUGAGCGCUCACGCCGGAAGGCCCACGAGCGUGGUAUUUAUCGGACGCUCCCGCCGGAUCGCGAGCGUGGCGCUUGCCGGGCGCUCACGCCGGAAGGACCACGAGCGUGGCGUUUAUCGAGCGCUCACGCCGGAUCACGGGCGUGGUAUCUAUCGAGCGCUCACGCCGGAGGGAUCCCGAGCGUGGCCGUAGCUCACUGUGGACAGGGGACGUGCCCACCAACUCCGUGAUAUGUUACUCUCCCAAGCACUCAGUACAGUGCUCUGCACACAAUCUGCACCCUUGACUGCGUGUGUGGCGGCGGAACAGCUCAUCAGAAAAGAGUGGCCCCGGAUGCCCCGGCCGAAAGGGAAUGAAGCUGAAAGAACGAAACAAAACAAACAGACCCUAAGAAGAAAUUGGAGUCGCCGCCUUCUGCACAGAUUCCUCGUCGUCGGUGGUGGUUAGCCUGCAGGUUUGCACCGAGGACACCUGCUUAGUUCCGUCCCUUAAAUGGACUUGGGCGGGAGCUCGGGAAAUGAUGAGCUUUGGCUAGGUGUGGUCCUUCUGUCCCACGCGGGCUGACGUACGGGGAGAUGCCUGGAUAACGUCGCUAUAAAAGAGGGUCUUAAUGCUUGCUGGCUCGGAAACCCGAAGGAGAUAACAUGUUAAGAACUUUGUUCUGGGGAGCCGUUUUGCUUCCGGGAUUUGCGGAUCAAAGAAAUGGUUUAGACGGGUGCUUUAUCCCGUUCCUCGUUGCUCACUUUUCAUUGGUUUGCCAAUCGUUUCCGUUUUUCACGGAGAACUGCAUUAACGAAGUAGAAAAUAGUUAAUUACCUAACGCAUUAUUCUCUGAAAAUGAUUACGUUGUUUAAAUUCUACUUGUAGUAACCUAGCAAAGCAAUACACCACAAGCUGACCUCAUUCAAUUAAAAAGUAGGCAAGCCAAGCCUUUUCAGGGUCCCGCCUUUGUACUGUUUUCCCCAGGGAGUGGAGAAAACAAGCUCUUGAAGAAACUGUGAGGAACAAGGGCCUCAGCAGAAUGUUAAACACCACGUCCCAUUCAAAUCUGAGACAGACUCUGUUUGACAAAACUCACUCCACCCAAAUGCUGAAGCUUGAGCUCCAAACCUCCUCUACCCCUCAGCAACAAAUGAUGCAGUGAAUUUGCAAAUUGUGUCCUUACGGCAUGAAGGGAAAUAGAAGAAGCUAGGUUGAAAGCUGGGCAGACGAGCCUGUUGGAGGGCUAGGAAAGGAAGUAGCGGUUACGGUCAGCCUGAAACUUCACCCAAAGUCAACGAGAAGGCAGUCUGGGGACAUCGCCGUCCCUCUAGGCUGUAAACCGGUUGUGGGCGGGGAACGCGUCGACUAAUUCUGCUGUACUGUACUCUCCCGAGUGCUCGUUACAGUGUUCUGUACCCAGUAAGCGCUCGGUAAAUACCGCCGAUUGAUCAUCGUCGAUGAGAUUUAUUUAUUCGUCCAUUCAGUUGCAUUUAUUGCCCACGGUGGGCGCUCAGUCAGCACGACCGAAUGAAGGAAUUUAUUGAGCGCUUACUGUGUGCAGAGCACUGCCUACCUACUUGGAAGGGUCGGUAGACACAUUCCCAGCCCGUUAACGAGCUCAGAGUCUAGAGACAUCGAGAGGAUUUAUCGGACUCGGUCUGAAAAUUCAGAAGGAGGGAAGGUCAUUUUUCAGGCUUGACUGUGGAGCGGGGAACGAAGGUGUUUGUAAAUGAAAUCGCAACUCGAGAUUUUUGCCGAGUAAAGCGCCAUCUCAUUGGUGGGCAGGAGUCCCGGGUUCUGGCAUCAACCUUGCAUCGACCCUGCUACCCCUCAGCUUCCCUAGACGUCCUUUGCCCCCUAUCUAAAAUGGACAUUAUUUUACCUGUCUCUACAGGAAUGCUGUGAGGAUCAAUGAAGUAUUCUAUUAAAAAAAUGACAAACGCUCUU